RNAcentral lists this unclassified non-coding RNA (218 nucleotides) under plant metagenome. Its description in RNAcentral is "partial contains small subunit ribosomal RNA and internal transcribed spacer 1". The stretch from base 1 to 46 matches the Rfam family "Eukaryotic small subunit ribosomal RNA", at positions 1786 to 1831 of the family's 1831-position model. The record is from RNAcentral.
AAGUCGUAACAAGGUUUCCGUAGGUGAACCUGCGGAAGGAUCAUUAAAGAAUUAGGCUUCGCGGCAGUUCUCAUCCCUUUGUCAUUACCGAAACCCAUGGAUUCGCAUUUGGGCAUGGGCCCCCUUUGGCAAGUUUCCCUGCCGGGUUCCCUGGGCCCUAGCAGGUUGAUUAAAUCCACUAGAAUCUCUGCUGUCUGAGUACUAUACAAUAGUUAAAA